This 253-nucleotide ribosomal RNA is filed under the name uncultured bacterium. RNAcentral describes it as "partial 16S ribosomal RNA". It matches the Rfam family "Bacterial small subunit ribosomal RNA", at positions 524 to 776 of the family's 1533-position model. The record is from RNAcentral.
UACGGAGGGUGCAAGCGUUAUCCGGAUUCACUGGGUUUAAAGGGUGCGUAGGUGGAGUGGUAAGUCAGUGGUGAAAUCUCCAAGCUUAACUUGGAAACUGCCGUUGAUACUAUCAUUCUUGAAUAUCGUGGAGGUAAGCGGAAUAUGUCAUGUAGCGGUGAAAUGCUUAGAUAUGACAUAGAACACCGAUUGCGUAGGCAGCUUGCUACACGAUCAUUGACACUGAGGCACGAAAGCGUGGGGAUCAAACAGG